RNAcentral lists this long non-coding RNA (324 nucleotides) under Erythranthe guttata (spotted monkey flower). RNAcentral's name for it is "long non-coding RNA (EGUT_LNC003120)". The record is from RNAcentral. Lineage: Eukaryota; Viridiplantae; Streptophyta; Magnoliopsida; Lamiales; Phrymaceae.
CUGAGAUUCAUAAAUGCAUAAUUUUGGGGGUUAAAAUGUAUUUUCUGAAUAUAUAUCACAGUUUUGAGAGAGACUUAAAAAACAGGAACUGAAAUGCAAUUUUCGAAAGCUUGAGGCUGUAAUACAGAUUUUUCAUUAUUUCAAAUCGACCCCGGCCCAAAAUCAGGAAUAACUUAAAUUACGGGACCAAAUUAAAAUUUCAGAGAAUUUCAAUUAUAACCUCAGGGGGCCAAAUUUUAAUUUCAUAAACCAUAAAUUCCUUGACCUAAUCCAUAUCCACAAAGCGGCCGUGCAAAUUAGCAUAACAUAAAUGGGGGACUUAAU